AACGAAAUAUGUAAAAGUAUUUAGUGGCGUACGGGUGAGUAAUAAAUAGGUGACUUACUCCAUGAACAAUGAUAAUUGAAAUAACUUUCUUGUAAACAUUGAUAAUCUAACAUAUCAUAAGUAUUUGUUAGCAAAGUAAUUAGAUUAGUCAUGGAAUAGGCUUAUUCUAGAUUAGAUAGUUGGUUGGGUAAUGGCUUACCAGGUCUAUGAUCUAUAGCUAUCCUUAAAGGGUGAUUAGCCACACUAGAAUUGAAAUAAGGUCUAGUUUCCUACGGGAAGCAGCAGUUAGGAAUAUUGGGCAAUGAGGGAAACCUUGACCCAGUNAUACCACGUGAGUUAUGAAGGCAUUAACUUGUUGUAAACUCUUUUAUAGUUUGAGAAGUUGACUAAACUAUGAAUAAGUGCCGGCAAAUUUUGUGCCAGCAACCGCGGUGAGACAAAGGCACGAACGUUACUCGGUUUUAAUGGGUUUAAAGGGUGUGUAGGUUUUUUUAUAAGUCAAAUUUAUGGAUACGGCAUAACUGUGGAUAUGGGUUUGAUACUGUAUUAAUUGAGAUUGAUGGAAGUUAAUGGAAUUUCUAGUGUAAAGGUGAAAUUUGUAGAUACUAGAAGGAACACCAGGGGCGAAGGCGAUUAACUAUUUUAAUCUGACACUGAGACACGAAAGCGUGGGGAGUAAAAAGGAUUAGAGACCCUUGUAAUCCACGCUGUAAAAGAUGAGUAUUUGAUAUUGUUAAACUUAGUGUUUAGCUAAUGUCUAAGCAAAAG
Molecule: ribosomal RNA, 768 nt
Filed under: uncultured Coxiellaceae bacterium
Lineage: Bacteria; Pseudomonadati; Pseudomonadota; Gammaproteobacteria; Legionellales; Coxiellaceae
Description: bacterial SSU rRNA
Rfam family: Bacterial small subunit ribosomal RNA
Source: RNAcentral